This 1304-nucleotide ribosomal RNA is filed under the name uncultured bacterium. Its description in RNAcentral is "partial 16S ribosomal RNA". It matches the Rfam family "Bacterial small subunit ribosomal RNA", at positions 95 to 1401 of the family's 1533-position model. The record is from RNAcentral.
CCGGCGCACGGGUGAGUAACACGUAUCCAACCUGCCGUCUACUCUUGGACAGCCUUCUGAAAGGAAGAUUAAUACAAGAUGGCAUCAUGAGUCCGCAUGUUCACAUGAUUAAAGGUAUUCCGGUAGACGAUGGGGAUGCGUUCCAUUAGAUAGUAGGCGGGGUAACGGCCCACCUAGUCUUCGAUGGAUAGGGGUUCUGAGAGGAAGGUCCCCCACAUUGGAACUGAGACACGGUCCAAACUCCUACGGGAGGCAGCAGUGAGGGGUAUUGGUCAAUGGGCGAGAGCCUGAACCAGCCAAGUAGCGUGAAGGAUGACUGCCCUAUGGGUUGUAAACUUCUUUUAUAAAGGAAUAAAGUCGGGUAUGCAUACCCGUUUGCAUGUACUUUAUGAAUAAGGAUCGGCUAACUCCGUGCCAGCAGCCGCGGUAAUACGGAGGAUCCGAGCGUUAUCCGGAUUUAUUGGGUUUAAAGGGAGCGUAGAUGGAUGUUUAAGUCAGUUGUGAAAGUUUGCGGCUCAACCGUAAAAUUGCAGUUGAUACUGGAUAUCUUGAGUGCAGUUGAGGCAGGCGGAAUUCGUGGUGUAGCGGUGAAAUGCUUAGAUAUCACGAAGAACUCCGAUUGCGAAGGCAGCCUGCUAAGCUGCAACUGACAUUGAGGCUCGAAAGUGUGGGUAUCAAACAGGAUUAGAUACCCUGGUAGUCCACGCAGUAAACGAUGAUUACUAGGAGUUUGCGAUAGACAGUAAGCUCUACAGCGAAAGCGUUAAGUAAUCCACCUGGGGAGUACGCCGGCAACGGUGAAACUCAAAGGAAUUGACGGGGGCCCGCACAAGCGGAGGAACAUGUGGUUUAAUUCGAUGAUACGCGAGGAACCUUACCCGGGUUUGAACGUAGUUUGACAGGGGUGGAAACACUUUUUCUAGCAAUAGCAAAUUACGAGGUGCUGCAUGGUUGUCGUCAGCUCGUGCCGUGAGGUGUCGGCUUAAGUGCCAUAACGAGCGCAACCCUUAUCACUAGUUACUAACAGGUAUAGCUGAGGACUCUGGUGAGACUGCCAGCGUAAGCUGUGAGGAAGGUGGGGAUGACGUCAAAUCAGCACGGCCCUUACAUCCGGGGCGACACACGUGUUACAAUGGCAUGGACAAAGGGCAGCUACCUGGCGACAGGAUGCUAAUCUCCAAACCAUGUCUCAGUUCGGAUCGGAGUCUGCAACUCGACUCCGUGAAGCUGGAUUCGCUAGUAAUCGCGCAUCAGCCAUGGCGCGGUGAAUACGUUCCCGGGUCUUGCACUCACCGCCCGUCAAG